Molecule: ribosomal RNA, 254 nt
Filed under: uncultured bacterium
Lineage: Bacteria
Description: partial 16S ribosomal RNA
Rfam family: Bacterial small subunit ribosomal RNA
Source: RNAcentral
UACGUAGGGUGCGAGCGUUGUCCGGAAUUAUUGGGCGUAAAGAGCUCGUAGGCGGUGUGUCACGUCGGCCGUGAAAACCUGCAGCUUAACUGUGGGCGUGCGGUCGAUACGGGCAUCACUGGAGUUCGGCAGGGGAGACUGGAAUUCCUGGUGUAGCGGUGAAAUGCGCAGAUAUCAGGAGGAACACCUGCGGCGAAGGCGGGUUGCUGGGCUGAUACUGACGCUGAGGCGCGAAAGCCAGGGGAGCGAACGGG